GAUGAACGCUGGCGGCGUGCCUAAUACAUGCAAGUCGAGCGAAUGGAUUAAGAGCUUGCUCUUAUGAAGUUAGCGGCGGACGGGUGAGUAACACGUGGGUAACCUGCCCAUAAGACUGGGAUAACUCCGGGAAACCGGGGCUAAUACCGGAUAACAUUUUGAACCGCAUGGUUCGAAAUUGAAAGGCGGCUUCGGCUGUCACUUAUGGAUGGACCCGCGUCGCAUUAGCUAGUUGGUGAGGUAACGGCUCACCAAGGCAACGAUGCGUAGCCGACCUGAGAGGGUGAUCGGCCACACUUGGACUGAGACACGUCCCAGACUCCUACGGGAGGCAGCAGUAGGGACUCUUCCGCAAUGGACGAAAGUCUGACGGAGCAACGCCGCGUGAGUGAUGAAGGCUUUCGGGUCGUAAAACUCUGUUGUUAGGGAAGAACAAGUGCUAGUUGAAUAAGCUGGCACCUUGACGGUACCUAACCAGAAAGCCACGGCUAACUACGUGCCAGCCGCCGCGGUAA
This 515-nucleotide ribosomal RNA is filed under the name uncultured bacterium. RNAcentral's name for it is "partial 16S ribosomal RNA". It matches the Rfam family "Bacterial small subunit ribosomal RNA", at positions 28 to 523 of the family's 1533-position model. The record is from RNAcentral.